Molecule: ribosomal RNA, 433 nt
Filed under: Klebsiella pneumoniae
Lineage: Bacteria; Pseudomonadati; Pseudomonadota; Gammaproteobacteria; Enterobacterales; Enterobacteriaceae
Description: bacterial SSU rRNA
Rfam family: Bacterial small subunit ribosomal RNA
Source: RNAcentral
GCGGGCCCUACACAUUGCAAGUUCGAGCGGUAGCACAGAGAGCUUGCUCUCGGGUGACGAGCGGCGGACGGGUGAGUAAUGUCUGGGAAACUGCCUGAUGGAGGGGGAUAACUACUGGAAACGGUAGCUAAUACCGCAUAAUGUCGCAAGACCAAAGUGGGGGACCUUCGGGCCUCAUGCCAUCAGAUGUGCCCAGAUGGGAUUAGCUAGUAGGUGGGGUAACGGCUCACCUAGGCGACGAUCCCUAGCUGGUCUGAGAGGAUGACCAGCCACACUGGAACUGAGACACGGUCCAGACUCCUACGGGAGGCAGCAGUGGGGAAUAUUGCACAAUGGGCGCAAGCCUGAUGCAGCCAUGCCGCGUGUGUGAAGAAGGCCUUCGGGUUGUAAAGCACUUUCAGCGGGGAGGAAGGCGGUAAGGUUAAUAACCUUG